UCUUUAAUCAGUCGUUAUUUUAGCGACUAAUUACCGACUGAAUAUAUCAGUCGCAAAUCAGAAGGAAAACAUUCGGUAAAUAUUAUCGUAAACCUAAAUCUGAUACCCAAAACCCUGAACAUUUUUAAACUCUAAACUUUAAAUAUAAACCUUGAAACUCUAAAUUUUUCACACAAUAAAUAUUAAUCCUAAAAUUUAAACUAUAAUAAAUUAUAUUCCCUGUAAGUUUCUAAACCCCAUACACCAAAUCAUUCUCCUUACAUUCCUUCUUGCAAAAGUUAAAUAAAAAUGUUAAACUAAUUUGCCUACUUAUCCAAAUAGCCAUGAUUUUGUCACAUUUGUUUCACGACUAGUUAAAUCCCUAAACCCUAAACA
RNAcentral lists this long non-coding RNA (375 nucleotides) under Brassica napus (rape). Its description in RNAcentral is "long non-coding RNA (BNAP_LNC015671)". The record is from RNAcentral. Lineage: Eukaryota; Viridiplantae; Streptophyta; Magnoliopsida; Brassicales; Brassicaceae.